This is a long non-coding RNA of Gallus gallus (chicken), 601 nucleotides long. RefSeq lists it as uncharacterized. The transcript is spliced from 2 exons. NCBI's taxonomy places the organism in Eukaryota, Metazoa, Chordata, Aves, Galliformes, Phasianidae. The record is from RefSeq and is a predicted model, not a curated record.
GAGAGCGGACACUGACCUGCAUGUGUGAUGAGCCAAGCUGAGAAAGCAAAGGGAUCUUCUCUUCCGAACAUGUUGCUUCUCCUCUAUAACAUGAUCAUUAUGUGGCAAUACACUACAGAGAAAAAGGAGACAAGAGAGGCAAAAGAAGAUACAGGAAAAUGGGCAGUGAGAAAUCAACCUUCUUCCCACCAUUUGGAAACUCUUUCUUACAGACAACAGUUAACAACAGCCUGCUACUGUACCCAUCAAGCAAGAACUGCCCCUGGUACCUUUUGGCUCUGUUACAUUUUUAAAUAUUUUCUGGGUAGAUACAUAAGAACAGAAACAGGACACCAACGUGCAUCAAAACCACUACUUCGUGCAAACUGCUUUCUGUGGAAAAAAGAAAUGGGCUACCAGAGCUAAUUCUAAGCAGCCAGAACAUCGCAGGAUUCAGAAAUGUUUGUCUGGGGAAAAUAUGCAGCCCCAGCACAGCUGAACAGAAGAGGACCAGAUGUCAUUCUUUUUCCAUUCUGGGGAAAGGGAAAAGGUUUCCUACAACAUCAUAUUUUCCCUUCGUCUCAGGAAAAGCUGGAUUAAUAAAUAAACAUCAUAAUGUGAA